CUCUGCAGCAUUACACUGUACAGAGAUAAUACCAGCAAUGGUACAAUGAGAAACUCAGUACCACAGAGUCCAUAAGAGAAGCAAAAGGUACAUAUGAGAAGGGAGAAAUUUCUUGCCAGCCCUCUGAGGUGAUCUUAGAGGUCUUUUCCCCUCUUAAUGAUUCUGUGAUUGGUAUCCACUCCCCCGCUCUCUUUCCAGAAAUAGCCUAUUUCGAUUUAUUUGCUUGUUGAGGUUAACUUUUUCAGGUGUGUGGAGGGGCUUCGUUCCUCUCUGCUAAGGGAACACUUUCUUUCCAAACAACUGAAAUGUUCAGCCAGUUAGCUAUAAAAGUGAAAACCAGCUGGAGGUUCUUUCCAUCAGCAGGUAUGAUAAUUGGUGUUAGCUGAGAAACAUGUGGGCUGCUUGGAGCUGUUAAACCAGCUGAAGUGUGUUUGAGCAGAGUAAGAUCAGAAGUAGUUUUCUUGAAAGGAAUCAGCUGGAAACAGAUACUUAAAGCCUAACUUCUUUGAUGUCUUUUUUUCUGGGAGGCCAGAGGAUUUCCUGACAGGCUGAAAACCCAAACAUCACUAGUAGGGGAGUACCUACCUGGCUUCUGACUUGCUGAGUUGAGAACUUGCUGAAGACUGUAUGAAUCCAAGUACAAGUCCAGGCUGAGAGGCAUUUGGUUCUGCUCUGAAAACUGAGUAAUACCAGACAAGCAAGGGAAGGGGUGUCAUACCUUCCUCUGUGCUGCAGUUCUCUGUGGAGGUGUGGUGCCUUUUUGAAGAACUCUGGAGAACUCUGGAAAUGAAAAAAAGAAAGUAAGUUCUAGAUAAUUUUGCAGCUUUUGUAGCUAUGUAAUACGAUGAGACUUGAGCCUUAUUUAGUGUCAGGGCUAAAACUGGUGCUGUGAACAUCCCGCAGAGAAACUUCUUGAUGUAGUGUCUUAUUUCUGCUGCUCUGUGUAUACAGGGUACUAGCUCAUGGUUUUAAUGGAAUCCUCCUUUGUAAUAACCCAUUCUACACAAAUGUAUUUAAAGGAGAAAAGUAGGGGAGCCAUGAACUUCCUGUGGAUUGGGGGAUGCUUAAGGUGCUCUAUCUACCUUGUCAUCUUCCCGAUGAUGCUGAGACUCAAAUAGUCACCUCUACAGUGUUGGCUGUUGGGAAACAUGCUUGAAGAUGGAUUUAUAAAAUGUGUCUUUAAUUUCU
Hirundo rustica (Barn swallow) is the source of this 1188-nucleotide long non-coding RNA. RefSeq lists it as uncharacterized. The record is from RefSeq and is a predicted model, not a curated record. Lineage: Eukaryota; Metazoa; Chordata; Aves; Passeriformes; Hirundinidae. The transcript is spliced from 3 exons.